GAUGGAUAAUUACAUGGGGUAAUGUCCUGUACUACUGAGAUCAUCAAUAACAGAUCUAUAGAGGGGCAGAGUCACAAUGGGGCACUUGCCUCCAUUUCUCUUCAAGAAAUCCUUACUUACAGGUGCAUAGAUGAAUUCAAAGUUUCAAACUGUUCCCUCUGCUCUCCUAAGGCACUAGGAGAGUAGUAAAUAACUGAACUUGGCUCUCAUCAUGCUAUGUUUAGUUUGUGGUAGGUUAUAAUGUGAGCUCUUAUAAAAGCUAUAUGCUUCCAUCAAGAAGGACAAAGAAAAAGACUUUAUUUUGUUAGAAUGCAUUCUCGAAUAUUUAUGCAUAUUAUUUUCCUAUGUAUGUAUGUGUUGCUCUCACCACCAACAAAAUUUCUUGGACCCACCUUGGUGCUCACUACUUGAUGAAGGGAACAUGCACGGUUGAUCAUUACUAAUUAUGGGAUACCAGAAGAAAGCUGUUUCCUUUCCCUGCUGAGUAGGAUGGCAUGUUUAUUGCUCG
Molecule: unclassified non-coding RNA, 508 nt
Filed under: Hevea brasiliensis (rubber tree)
Lineage: Eukaryota; Viridiplantae; Streptophyta; Magnoliopsida; Malpighiales; Euphorbiaceae
Source: RNAcentral